This 253-nucleotide ribosomal RNA is filed under the name uncultured bacterium. RNAcentral describes it as "partial 16S ribosomal RNA". It matches the Rfam family "Bacterial small subunit ribosomal RNA", at positions 524 to 776 of the family's 1533-position model. The record is from RNAcentral.
UACGGAGGAUGCAAGCAUUAUCCGGAAUGAUUGGGCGUAAAGCGUCCGCAGGUGGUUGUGUGUGUCUAUUGUCAAAGCAUCAUGCUUAACAUGCUAAAGGCAGUGGAAACUACCCGACUAGAGUGAGUUCGGGGCAGAGGGAAUUCCUGGUGUAGCGGUGAAAUGCGUAGAGAUCGGGAAGAACACCGGUGGCGAAAGCGCUCUGCUGGGCCGAAACUGACACUGAGGCACGAAAGCUAGGGGAGUGAAUGGG